UGGGGAAUAUUGGACAAUGGGCGCAAGCCUGAUCCAGCCAUGCCGCGUGAGUGAUGAAGGCCCUAGGGUUGUAAAGCUCUUUCACCGGUGAAGAUAAUGACGGUAACCGGAGAAGAAGCCCCGGCUAACUUCGUGCCAGCAGCCGCGGUAAUACGAAGGGGGCUAGCGUUGUUCGGAUUUACUGGGCGUAAAGCGCACGUAGGCGGACUAUUAAGUCAGGGGUGAAAUCCCGGGGCUCAACCCCGGAACUGCCUUUGAUACUGGUAGUCUUGAGUUCGAGAGAGGUGAGUGGAAUUCCGAGUGUAGAGGUGACAUUCGUAGAUAUUCGGAGGAACACCAGUGGCGAAGGCGGCUCACUGGCUCUAUUCUGACGCUGGGGUGCGAAAGCGUGGGGAGCAAACAGG
RNAcentral lists this ribosomal RNA (404 nucleotides) under Actinomycetes bacterium. Its description in RNAcentral is "Actinobacteria bacterium partial 16S ribosomal RNA". It matches the Rfam family "Bacterial small subunit ribosomal RNA", at positions 355 to 776 of the family's 1533-position model. The record is from RNAcentral. Lineage: Bacteria; Bacillati; Actinomycetota; Actinomycetes.